AAAAUUUGGUUCAUAUAAUCUCCCUGCAAAAUGAAACAAAAUUUCAUUUUAAAAAAUAGGGGUCCAUGCACUUGUUUUCAAAUUAAAUCAGUUUGAAUGAUAAAAAUCAGUUGGAAAAUGCAUCUUUUCUCGGUAUGUCACAGUUUGACGUCGCAAAAAUAACAUUUUACGUUAGCAACGUCAUUACCUCCCCUGUUACUGUAUCAUAUGCCC
This 213-nucleotide long non-coding RNA is filed under the name Mytilus galloprovincialis (Mediterranean mussel). The record is from RNAcentral. Lineage: Eukaryota; Metazoa; Mollusca; Bivalvia; Mytilida; Mytilidae.